GUGAAAUUUUUGGGGCUGUCGGGAGGAGAAUAGUGGAAGGAGCGUCCAGGUGAAAUGAACUGUGCAGUCCUUUAGAGCCUCUGGACAGAAGGUCAUUUCUGCCACGCAGAAGCACAGAUCAGCUGAGAGCGAGGCACCAGAAGAAGGCCUAAGAGUUUCCAAAAGUGGGUUACUGCGAAUUUUUACCCAAGAACAUGAAGCCUGCUCAUGUGAGUGAUUUAAAAUGGCUUGUCCUUAUCAUGCUACACUGAUGUUUCCCAAAUAAGUCAUGGUUUUAGUUUUGUCAUUGUUUCUCUCCCAAAUCUGCCCUUCAUGAGAUUUGUAUCCUCCUUAAGUCUUAUAAUUAUACAAAGCUUCAAAUAGAAUUUCGUCUCAUAGUCCAAUCUUUUCUCCCCCAGAGUAUACUAUAUUUGAUGUUAUCUAUAAUCAAUCAAGGCUCAAGAAUCAAAGCAAUCAUGUACUUGUGCCAUUGUUUUAUAAUAGAGUAAUCAAUAUGCAAUGUAUACAGUUUAUCAUAGGCUAAUUUUCUCUCUUCUUUUACCCUGUAUAUCCAUUGAUAUUCCUGAAUGUGGUGUUAAAAUUUGCAUAUGAAAUGAUUUUAUUUUGUUUUUCAACAUAAGCUUUCAACUUGAAGUUUUCAUCAUUACCUUGGUCAACAUAAGCUAGACCCCAACUUUAAUAUUACUUACAUCACUUAUGAGUAAUAUAAUUAUAGGAGUCUAUUCCUUCAUUAGGCCUGAAAUUACAUUUUGAGCGUUAUACAUUACUUUGACUAUUUUUUUUUUGUUUUUUUGAGACGGAGUCUCACUUUGUUGCCCAGGCUGGAGUGCAGUGGCGUGAUCUCUGCUCAUUGCAACCUUUGCCUCCUGAGUUCAAGCGAUUCC
Molecule: long non-coding RNA, 884 nt
Organism: Rhinopithecus roxellana (golden snub-nosed monkey)
Lineage: Eukaryota; Metazoa; Chordata; Mammalia; Primates; Cercopithecidae
Exons: 3
Source: RefSeq, a predicted model, not a curated record